Molecule: ribosomal RNA, 433 nt
Filed under: uncultured bacterium
Lineage: Bacteria
Description: partial 16S ribosomal RNA
Rfam family: Bacterial small subunit ribosomal RNA
Source: RNAcentral
CUCUCCCUCUGGCGGCAUGCCUAACACAUGCAAGUCGAACGAGACCUUCGGGUCUAGUGGCGCACGGGUGCGUAACGCGUGGGAACCUGCCCUUAGGUUCGGAAUAACUCCCCGAAAGGGGUGCUAAUACCGGAUAAUGUCUUCGGACCAAAGAUUUAUCGCCUUUGGAUGGGCCCGCGUUGGAUUAGCUAGUUGGUAGGGUAAAAGCCUACCAAGGCGACGAUCCAUAGCUGGUCUGAGAGGAUGAUCAGCCACACUGGGACUGAGACACGGCCCAGACUCCUACGGGAGGCAGCAGUGGGGAAUAUUGGACAAUGGGCGAAAGCCUGAUCCAGCAAUGCCGCGUGAGUGAUGAAGGCCUUAGGGUUGUAAAGCUCUUUUACCCGGGAUGAUAAUGACAGUACCGGGAGAAUAAGCUCCGGCUAACUCCGUG